Molecule: long non-coding RNA, 300 nt
Filed under: Elaeis guineensis (African oil palm)
Lineage: Eukaryota; Viridiplantae; Streptophyta; Magnoliopsida; Arecales; Arecaceae
Description: long non-coding RNA (EGUI_LNC010352)
Source: RNAcentral
GGGGAUGUUUCAAAUGUGGUCAGAUGGGGCAUCAAAGCAAAGAUUGUCCUAAUAAUGCUCUAGCUAGAGGUCUCCUAUCAAAGCCAAAUACUUCAUAAAGAUUUUAGAUCCGAAGUGGUAAUUAUCUUAUUGAUGCGCAAGCAGAUAAAGUAGGAAUGAAUAACAGUGGGCAAGGUGCUAUGUCAGAUAGAUCAAGAGCUGAAGUGAGAGUAUUUUCCAUGAGUAGACAAGAGGCACGGGCAACUCCUGAUGUAGUGAUAGAUAUGUUAUCUAUAUUUGAUCGAACUAAUUGACCCUGGG